Molecule: long non-coding RNA, 164 nt
Organism: Cydia splendana
Lineage: Eukaryota; Metazoa; Arthropoda; Insecta; Lepidoptera; Tortricidae
Exons: 2
Source: RefSeq, a predicted model, not a curated record
CUGCCGGUGAGUAAGGUUGCCAGAGCUUAACGAGGGUGCUGUGUGUUAGGGGCCGGCAACGCGCAUGAUACACCCCUGGAUUUGCAGGCUUCCAUAGGCUACGGUGACUGCUUACCAUCAGGCGGGCCAUAUGCUUGUUUGCCACCGACGUAGUAUAAAAAUAA